CUGGAAUGAUCAGAUUCCACUUCACUGGUCCGUGUUUCUGAAACACAUGAUUUUGUGGAAAUUCCGACUUA
Amazona collaria (yellow-billed parrot) is the source of this 71-nucleotide small nucleolar RNA. Its record names the gene SNORD18. It matches the Rfam family "Small nucleolar RNA SNORD18". From Rfam's summary of the family: U18 is a member of the C/D class of snoRNA which contain the C (UGAUGA) and D (CUGA) box motifs. NCBI's taxonomy places the organism in Eukaryota, Metazoa, Chordata, Aves, Psittaciformes, Psittacidae. The record is from Ensembl.